This 86-nucleotide non-coding RNA is filed under the name human gut metagenome. RNAcentral also lists the same sequence under 1 other name. The record is from RNAcentral.
UGUCUGGGGAGCUGACAGCCGGCUGAGAGGGAUUAAGAUCCGACCCAUGAACCUGAUCCGGGUAAUGCCGUCGCAGGAAGAUAGAU